AUGAAAUUCCUCCCUGAACAAAGCUUGAGGAACCUGAAGUCUGCAGUCCUUCAGUCACAAGGCAUCCGAUGCUUGGUUCCAGAUGAUUGCAACAAGUUGCUUGCUCUUGUUAGAGCUGAAAAAAGAAAAGUCCGCGGCACUUUCACGUUGAUCCUUCGUCUUCGAUCUAUGCCGCCGGGCAUGACGCACCCUCCGUCAGAGUUCACGCCGGCCACGACGCUUCAUCUACAUCCGCAGGCUUUUAAUCGCCCUCUGGAGCAAGCAUCACCAGCAACCCUCGUAAUGGACGGCCUCCCACUCCUUUGUGCCUUUUACUAUUGUACAGUUACAUUCCGUGGGAAUUGUGCCGUGUGUGUGUGGGCAGUUUAG
RNAcentral lists this ribosomal RNA (369 nucleotides) under Triticum aestivum (bread wheat). Its description in RNAcentral is "partial small subunit ribosomal RNA". The record is from RNAcentral. Lineage: Eukaryota; Viridiplantae; Streptophyta; Magnoliopsida; Poales; Poaceae.